AGAGUUUGAUCAUGGCUCAGAACGUACGCUGGCGGCACGCCUAACACAUGCAAGUCGAACGAAGUAGCAAUACUUAGUGGCAGACGGGUGAGUAACAUGUAGGUAUCUGCCCUUUGGCCUGGAAUAACACGAGGAAACUUGUGCUAAUACCGGAUAAGUCUUUACGGAGAAAGCUUUAUGCACCAUUGGAUGAGCCUGCACUUGAUUAGUUUGUUGGUGGGGUAAUGGCCUACCAAGACUGUGAUCAAUAGCUGAUUUGAGAGGAUGAUCAGCCACAUUGGGACUGAGACACGGCCCAAACUCCUACGGGAGGCAGCAGUGGGGAAUCUUGCACAAUGGAGGAAACUCUGAUGCAGCGAUGCCGCGUGAGUGAAGAAGGCCCUUGGGUUGUAAAGCUCUUUCGUCGGGGAAGAAAAUGACUGUACCCGAAUAAGAAGGUCCGGCUAACUUCGUGCCAGCAGCCGCGGUAAUACGAAGGGACCUAGCGUAGUUCGGAAUUACUGGGCUUAAAGAGUUCGUAGGUGGUUGAAAAAGUUAGUGGUGAAAUCCCAGAGCUUAACUCUGGAACUGCCAUUAAAACUUUUCAGCUAGAGUAUGAUAGAGGAAAGCAGAAUUUCUAGUGUAGAGGUGAAAUUCGUAGAUAUUAGAAAGAAUACCAAUUGCGAAGGCAGCUUUCUGGAUCAUUACUGACACUGAGGAACGAAAGCAUGGGUAGCGAAGAGGAUUAGAUACCCUCGUAGUCCAUGCCGUAAACGAUGUGUGUUAGACGUUGGAAAUUUAUUUUCAGUGUCGCAGGGAAACCGAUAAACACACCGCCUGGGGAGUACGACCGCAAGGUUAAAACUCAAAUGAAUUGACGGGGACCCGC
This 868-nucleotide ribosomal RNA is filed under the name uncultured Alphaproteobacteria bacterium. RNAcentral describes it as "bacterial SSU rRNA". It matches the Rfam family "Bacterial small subunit ribosomal RNA", at positions 8 to 924 of the family's 1533-position model. The record is from RNAcentral. Lineage: Bacteria; Pseudomonadati; Pseudomonadota; Alphaproteobacteria.